This is a non-coding RNA of Ictidomys tridecemlineatus (thirteen-lined ground squirrel), 72 nucleotides long. The record is from Rfam. NCBI's taxonomy places the organism in Eukaryota, Metazoa, Chordata, Mammalia, Rodentia, Sciuridae.
GGGGUUGUGGUUCAGUGGUAGUGUGCUUGCCUAGCAUGCAUGAGGCACUGGGUUCGAUUCUCAGCAACACAU